GGCGGCGGUGGCGGUGGUGGGUACCCCAACUAUGACAGCUCCGGCAACUCAUACGGAAGAGGUGGCUAUAGACCCAACUCUCCCUACAGCCACACCUAUGGUGGAGACGAACAUUCCACAUACGGCAACCCCCAAGGUAACCGACUGACUCAGUCGCCCCGGUCGUUGAUAAGCACGUGCUGCUGCUCCUCUCUGGGGGAGGGGCCGUGCAGGCAUGCCUGAUCCCAGCCUCACGACUUCUGCAUAGCGAUUUUAGUGCCUCUGCGUGUAACGGGCCUUCUGGACGAGGCUGUCUGAGGUUCAGAAUAGGAUUGACGGGAGUCCAGAGGGAGGGGAGGCAAGGGCUACAAGAUGCCUCUUAGCUUUCCGAGCAAGGCUUUGCAUGAUGGCUGGGGGUCCCCAGACCUCUGCGGGCACCACAGUGACUCCCCUGUCUGUGACCAGCACACAGGGCUGGCCAGGGGAGACGCUGGUGGAGCCUGCACUUCAUACAAGCUCCAUAGGAAAGAGCCUGCCCGUCUUCACACGUAUGUGAAGAACAGAUCUGAGGCCACUAAGACUCUGGGAGACCGGCUUUAAGGACAGUUCGUCUGUGGGAAGGAGAUGAACAGGCCAGCUGAGUUAGAGUCCAGGCAGGGGAGGUAGAAAAAAAGAGGUCAGUGCAGAGGGCCAACUGGGUAGUGAGAAUUGAUGGCACUUGUAUUGAUUUGCCGUGGAAUGGCAGAGAGGAAAGAGGCAUGUAUCAGUCAGCUAUGCUGCGUAACGAAAGACCCCAAAACUUAGUUGCUGGAAACAGCAACUAUUUAUUGCGAUCACUAUCGAGUGAGUCAUCAAUUUGGGCUAAAACCAUCCAUUCUGAUGGCCUCUGAACACGCUUCCUUGUCUGUGGUCGGCUGCAGAUCUGGCCGGCCAUGUAUGGCCAUGUUGGCUGGGUCUUCUCAUGUAUCUGGGGCCAGAGGUGGGAUGGAUCAGUUCAGAUUCCCGUGGGCUCUCCCGUCCCUCCCAGAGGCCAGGGCACGUUGGAUCACGUGACAGCCAGGCAGGGUCCUAAGAGGAUGCGGACAAGAGUGCCCGGGCUUAGAAGUGGCUCAGCUGCACUUCCGCCAAAGUGCGUUGGCCAAAGCCUAGAUUCUUGGGAAGAAGACGUGGACCCCACCUCUCCAUGGGAAAUGCAGCGGGUGUGGAUAUAGGAAGCGGAAGACUAGAAGGCAGCCAGUCUCGCCCCAGGAGGCAGGGUGAGGAGGGGCUGCCAGACGUAGAGCAGAUUCUCAAGAUCAGUCAUAAUUCUUUUCCACCUAACACGGCAGACCCAUUUGAGGAUCAGCCACACAUCCAUCACCUUUGCCAGGCCAGGUGCUGGCCCAGGUGUUCCACC
This is a non-coding RNA of Microcebus murinus (gray mouse lemur), 1375 nucleotides long. The record is from RefSeq and is a predicted model, not a curated record. Lineage: Eukaryota; Metazoa; Chordata; Mammalia; Primates; Cheirogaleidae.